AACAGAGGACACUUACACGCACUGGGUCUUGUCAGCACAGUCGCAGCUUCCGCAGUUGCUUGACAUGAUUGAGUUUUUGAAAAGGCUUUAAAGGA
Molecule: small RNA, 95 nt
Filed under: Arabidopsis thaliana (thale cress)
Lineage: Eukaryota; Viridiplantae; Streptophyta; Magnoliopsida; Brassicales; Brassicaceae
Description: ATSL138890
Source: RNAcentral